RNAcentral lists this non-coding RNA (31 nucleotides) under Bombyx mori (domestic silkworm). RNAcentral also lists the same sequence under 5 other names. The record is from RNAcentral. Lineage: Eukaryota; Metazoa; Arthropoda; Insecta; Lepidoptera; Bombycidae.
UUCCGUAGGGGAACCUGCGGAAGGAUCAUUA